GGGGCUGACCGGUUUUGACAGCAGGUCAAGGCGACAGAGUAAGCGUGUCGAGGGUUGUAGGGGCACUCGUUAAACAGAACUUUCAAACAUUAACUGGCAAUAAUAGCUAUCAACUCGCUGCGUAAUUUCACUAAGUGAAAUCGCUUAAUUCCCGCCGCCAAGGCUGCGGUAGGAACGAGUACUCAGAGGGUGAGAGACCUCUUUUAGCUCUCAUUUUCACCGAGUAUCAUCAAAUUAAAAGAUAGCUUGCGAGGGCAUCCCGACCUCCGAGCGAAAUUUAAGGGAUUAAGUUGCGGCUCAGGGUGUCCGUUCUCAUACCGCAAUCGAAAAACAAAGACGGAAUACACACGUAGAAAGCACUGGGGCUUCUUGUUUGGACGAGGGUUCGAUUCCCUCCAGCUCCACUU
This 407-nucleotide transfer-messenger RNA is filed under the name Mucinivorans hirudinis. Its description in RNAcentral is "Standard tmRNA". It matches the Rfam family "transfer-messenger RNA". From Rfam's summary of the family: Bacterial tmRNA, also known as 10Sa RNA or SsrA, is named for its dual tRNA and mRNA-like properties. Its role is to liberate the mRNA from a stalled ribosome. Lineage: Bacteria; Pseudomonadati; Bacteroidota; Bacteroidia; Bacteroidales; Rikenellaceae. The record is from Rfam by way of RNAcentral.